GCUUGCGGCCACACCGGCCUGAGUACGCCUGAUCUCGUCCGAUCUCGGAAGCUAAGCAGGGUCGGGCCUGGUUAGUACUUGGAUGGGAGACCGCCUGUGAAUACCAGGUACUGUAAGCU
This 119-nucleotide ribosomal RNA is filed under the name Oncorhynchus mykiss (rainbow trout). The record is from RNAcentral. Lineage: Eukaryota; Metazoa; Chordata; Actinopteri; Salmoniformes; Salmonidae.